This 316-nucleotide unclassified non-coding RNA is filed under the name plant metagenome. Its description in RNAcentral is "partial contains 5.8S ribosomal RNA, internal transcribed spacer 2, and large subunit ribosomal RNA". The stretch from base 1 to 105 matches the Rfam family "5.8S ribosomal RNA", at positions 50 to 154 of the family's 154-position model. The record is from RNAcentral.
GAAAUGCGAUAACUAGUGUGAAUUGCAGAAUUCCGUGAAUCAUCGAGUCUUUGAACGCACAUUGCGCCCCCUGGUAUUCCGGGGGGCAUGCCUGUCCGAGCGUCAUUGCUGCCCAUCAAGCACGGCUUGUGUGUUGGGUCGUCGUCCCCUCUCCGGGGGGGACGGGCCCCAAAGGCAGCGGCGGCACCGCGUCCGAUCCUCGAGCGUAUGGGGCUUUGUCACCCGCUCUGUAGGCCCGGCCGGCACUUGCCGAACGCAAAUCAAUCUUUUUCCAGGUUGACCUCGGAUCAGGUAGGGAUACCCGCUGAACUUAAGC